Molecule: ribosomal RNA, 1153 nt
Filed under: Campylobacter jejuni
Lineage: Bacteria; Pseudomonadati; Campylobacterota; Epsilonproteobacteria; Campylobacterales; Campylobacteraceae
Description: partial 23S ribosomal RNA
Rfam family: Bacterial large subunit ribosomal RNA
Source: RNAcentral
AAGAAACUUACAACAAAGAGUCCCUCCCGACUGUUUACCAAAAACACAGCACUCUGCUAACUCGUAAGAGGAUGUAUAGGGUGUGACGCCUGCCCGGUGCUCGAAGGUUAAUUGAUGGGGUUAGCAUUAGCGAAGCUCUUGAUCGAAGCCCGAGUAAACGGCGGCCGUAACUAUAACGGUCCUAAGGUAGCGAAAUUCCUUGUCGGUUAAAUACCGACCUGCAUGAAUGGCGUAACGAGAUGGGAGCUGUCUCAAAGAGGGAUCCAGUGAAAUUGUAGUGGAGGUGAAAAUUCCUCCUACCCGCGGCAAGACGGAAAGACCCCGUGGACCUUUACUACAGCUUGACACUGCUACUUGGAUAAGAAUGUGCAGGAUAGGUGGGAGGCUUUGAGUAUAUGACGCCAGUUGUAUAUGAGCCAUUGUUGAGAUACCACUCUUUCUUAUUUGGGUAGCUAACCGGCUUGAGUUAUCCUCAAGUGGGACAAUGUCUGGUGGGUAGUUUGACUGGGGCGGUCGCCUCCCAAAUAAUAACGGAGGCUUACAAAGGUUGGCUCAGAACGGUUGGAAAUCGUUCGUAGAGUAUAAAGGUAUAAGCCAGCUUAACUGCAAGACAUACAAGUCAAGCAGAGACGAAAGUCGGUCUUAGUGAUCCGGUGGUUCUGUGUGGAAGGGCCAUCGCUCAAAGGAUAAAAGGUACCCCGGGGAUAACAGGCUGAUCUCCCCCAAGAGCUCACAUCGACGGGGAGGUUUGGCACCUCGAUGUCGGCUCAUCGCAUCCUGGGGCUGGAGCAGGUCCCAAGGGUAUGGCUGUUCGCCAUUUAAAGCGGUACGCGAGCUGGGUUCAGAACGUCGUGAGACAGUUCGGUCCCUAUCUGCCGUGGGCGUAAGAAGAUUGAAGAGAUUUGACCCUAGUACGAGAGGACCGGGUUGAACAAACCACUGGUGUAGCUGUUGUUCUGCCAAGAGCAUCGCAGCGUAGCUAAGUUUGGAAAGGAUAAACGCUGAAAGCAUCUAAGCGUGAAGCCAACUCUAAGAUGAAUCUUCUCUAAGCUCUCUAGAAGACUACUAGUUUGAUAGGCUGGGUGUGUAAUGGAUGAAAGUCCUUUAGCUGACCAGUACUAAUAGAGCGUUUGGCUUAUCUUUAAUAAAGCAU